This 427-nucleotide ribosomal RNA is filed under the name uncultured bacterium. Its description in RNAcentral is "bacterial SSU rRNA". It matches the Rfam family "Bacterial small subunit ribosomal RNA", at positions 355 to 775 of the family's 1533-position model. The record is from RNAcentral.
UGGGGAAUCUUGCGCAAUGGGCGAAAGCCUGACGCAGCGACGCCGCGUGAGGGAAGAAGGCUUUCGGGUUGUAAACCUCUUUCAGGAGGGACGAAGCUACUCGGGUUAAUAGCCCAGAGGGUGACGGUACCUCCAGAAGAAGCCCCGGCUAACUACGUGCCAGCAGCCGCGGUAAUACGUAGGGGGCAAGCGUUGUCCGGAUUUAUUGGGCGUAAAGAGCGUGUAGGCGGCCUGGUAGGUCAGCUGUGAAAACUCGAGGCUCAACCUCGAGACGCCGGUUGAAACCAUCAGGCUAGAGUCCGGAAGAGGAGAGUGGAAUUCCAGGUGUAGCGGUGAAAUGCGCAGAUAUCUGGAAGAACACCCGUGGCUAAGGCGGCUCUCUAGUACGGUACUGACGCUGAGACGCGAAAGCGUGGGGAGCGAACAG